Long non-coding RNA from Dreissena polymorpha, 836 nucleotides. RefSeq lists it as uncharacterized. Lineage: Eukaryota; Metazoa; Mollusca; Bivalvia; Myida; Dreissenidae. The record is from RefSeq and is a predicted model, not a curated record. The transcript is spliced from 3 exons.
CACCAGCCACAUUUGUAAAAUCGGUUUAACAACAAUUUAUACGCUGAAUAAUAUUGGCGGUUUUACCGCAGUGGACGCGUCAAAAUUAUUUUUCGUCAUAGCCAGGAACCAAUGCUACACUUACAUGCCGGGAACCAUUGUGACACGAAAUUUUAAUCCCGGAUAAAAUGUUAGAGGUUAACAUACAAUGAUACAUGUUGUUUGGCGGCAUCUUGUAGACCGGUGUGGACACAGUGGUUUGGCGGUAACUCGACCGAAAGAAGAACUUAAAUUAAGGUAGAAGAAGAAGAAGCUCAAGGCGUGCCAUCCUAACAGUUGCAAUUUUGACUGUUCAGCAUGUUAGAAAAGCAAGCUCUACACCUAUUCACGGUCAUCAGCCCCACCAAAUUCUAGUCUGUCUUGUUUGUUACACACCUGGUCAUCUGUCAGGAACUAGAGAGAAUACAUCUGACUUAGAGUACCGAGUUAUUACAAGGCAGCCUUGAAUCGGACAGUGGGUCUGAUCAAUGAAAACAACGGAUACACAUGCAUCCCAUGCUUGCAUGUCCAGGAUUUGAAAUGAGUACAUGGAGAUCAACAAGUAAAAUUCCCUCCGAUCGAAGUUCCUUGUUGAUCCAGCUUUUCCAAAGUCAAUGUCCUUAACAAUCACCCAUCAUACACCGUCCGCAACUGUGGAGCUGCUAGUAUCCAAGAGGUCAAGGAUCAGGGGAGUAAGCCGAAAACAAUUUUUAGAUUAACUCAUAGAAAUUGGUACAUAGUGUACGUUGUUUAAACUGACAUAACGUCAUUGUGAAAUAAAAACUUGUCAUAGCUGAAAUAAAUGAUAGCUGACUAUG